GCUAAUUAAAUUAUACCAUUCAUUAAUUUCACACACAAUAUGUAAUGAUUUUCCUUACAAAGAAAAGGUUUAGUUGGGUCAGGCCAUAAACAAACCCGACCCGACUCAACCCAAUGCAGUGAAUCCAUGUAUAUAUAUAUAACCUUCUAAGACAAAACUGCUAAUAAUAACUUAUUAUAUGGAUCUCCCAACACAAAAUAUUCUCUCUUACAUAUAUAUACAUAUAUUAACUUAAGCUUCCUUCAACCUUAUAUUCUCUCCCCAUCUCUCCCCUCUCUCUCUCUGUCUCUACCACACGCGUGCACGUACAUGCAUAUAUAUUCAAAUUUUUACAUCUUAAAUAAUGUCAUGAUCGUCCUAUAGUCACCAUGAUUAAGCACAUUUAAGCGAAGCAAAUAUAUAUAGAGAGAGAGAAAGAGAGAGAG
This 425-nucleotide unclassified non-coding RNA is filed under the name Hevea brasiliensis (rubber tree). Lineage: Eukaryota; Viridiplantae; Streptophyta; Magnoliopsida; Malpighiales; Euphorbiaceae. The record is from RNAcentral.